GAGUUUGAUCGUGGCUCAGAUUGAACGCUGGCGGAAUGCUUUACACAUGCAAGUCGGGCGGCAGCGCGGGGCAACCUGGCGGCGAGCGGCGAACGGGUGAGUAAUGCAUCGGAACAUGUCCAUGUCGUGGGGGAUAGCCCGGCGAAAGCCGGAUUAAUACCGCAUACGCCCGAGAGGGGAAAGUGGGGGACCGCAAGGCCUCACGCGAUUGGGUUGGCCGAUGUCCGAUUAGCUAGUUGACGGGGUAAAGGCCCACCAAGGCGAUGAUCGGUAGCUGGUCUGAGAGGAUGAUCAGCCACACUGGGACUGAGACACGGCCCAGACUCCUACGGGAGGCAGCAGUGGGGAAUUUUGGACAAUGGGGGCAACCCUGAUCCAGCCAUUCCGCGUGAGUGAAGAAGGCC
Molecule: ribosomal RNA, 404 nt
Filed under: uncultured beta proteobacterium
Lineage: Bacteria; Pseudomonadati; Pseudomonadota; Betaproteobacteria
Description: bacterial SSU rRNA
Rfam family: Bacterial small subunit ribosomal RNA
Source: RNAcentral